Molecule: ribosomal RNA, 440 nt
Filed under: uncultured bacterium
Lineage: Bacteria
Description: partial 16S ribosomal RNA
Rfam family: Bacterial small subunit ribosomal RNA
Source: RNAcentral
CCUACGGGUGGCAGCAGUGGGGAAUAUUGGACAAUGGGGGCAACCCUUAUCCAGCCACGCCGCGUGAGGGAAGAAGGUUUUCGGGUUGUAAACCUCUGUCAGUGGGGACGAUAAUGACGGUACCCACGGAGGAAGCCACGGCUAACUACGUGCCAGCAGCCGCGGUAAUACGUAGGGGGCAAGCGUUGUCCCGGAUUAAUGGGUGUAAAUGGAGCGCAGGCGGGAUGUUAAGUCAGAAGUGAAAAUUAUGGGCUCAACUCAUAACCUGCUUUUGACACUGAUGUUCUUGAGUGAAGUAGAGGUAAGCGGAAUGCCUAGUGUAGCGGUGAAAUGCGUAGAUAUCAGGAGGAACCCCAGUGGCGAAGGCAGCUUGCUGGGCUUCUACUGACGCUGAGGCUCGAAAGCGUGGGGAGCAAACAGGAUUAGAUACCCCGGUAGUC